UGGGGAAUAUUGCACAAUGGGCGCAAGCCUGAUGCAGCGACGCCGCGUGCGGGAUGGAGGCCUUCGGGUUGUAAACCGCUUUUGUUCAAAGGCAAGGCACGGUCUUUGGCCGUGUUGAGUGGAUUGUUCGAAUAAGCACCGGCUAACUACGUGCC
This 155-nucleotide ribosomal RNA is filed under the name uncultured bacterium. RNAcentral describes it as "partial 16S ribosomal RNA". It matches the Rfam family "Bacterial small subunit ribosomal RNA", at positions 355 to 509 of the family's 1533-position model. The record is from RNAcentral.